ACAACAUUCGGAUUAUCGGUCGACCGAGCGAUAUCACUUCGGUGGAAGAUCUUCCCUCCGUCGU
RNAcentral lists this microRNA precursor (64 nucleotides) under Bombyx mori (domestic silkworm). Its description in RNAcentral is "mir-2774 microRNA precursor family". It matches the Rfam family "mir-2774 microRNA precursor family". Lineage: Eukaryota; Metazoa; Arthropoda; Insecta; Lepidoptera; Bombycidae. The record is from Rfam by way of RNAcentral.